RNAcentral lists this transfer RNA (85 nucleotides) under Felis catus (domestic cat). It matches the Rfam family "tRNA". From Rfam's summary of the family: Transfer RNA (tRNA) molecules are approximately 80 nucleotides in length. Lineage: Eukaryota; Metazoa; Chordata; Mammalia; Carnivora; Felidae. The record is from Rfam by way of RNAcentral.
GCCUAGGUGGUUUAGUCCGUUAAGCAUCUGACUUCGGCUCAGAUCAUGAUCUCGUGGUCUGUGGGUUCGAGGCCCGCAUUGGGCU